This 23-nucleotide non-coding RNA is filed under the name Arabidopsis thaliana (thale cress). The record is from RNAcentral. Lineage: Eukaryota; Viridiplantae; Streptophyta; Magnoliopsida; Brassicales; Brassicaceae.
GGUAAGCCAUCAGAGUGUCCAGG